RNAcentral lists this ribosomal RNA (279 nucleotides) under uncultured Loktanella sp. RNAcentral describes it as "partial 16S ribosomal RNA". It matches the Rfam family "Bacterial small subunit ribosomal RNA", at positions 54 to 354 of the family's 1533-position model. Lineage: Bacteria; Pseudomonadati; Pseudomonadota; Alphaproteobacteria; Rhodobacterales; Roseobacteraceae. The record is from RNAcentral.
AGCUACCAUGCAAGUCGAGCGCACUCUUCGGAGUGAGCGGCGGACGGGUUAGUAACGCGUGGGAAUAUACCCUUUACUACGGAAUAGCCUUUGGAAACGAAGAGUAAUACCGUAUACGCCCUUCGGGGGAAAGAUUUAUCGGUAAAGGAUUAGCCCGCGUCUGAUUAGAUAGUUGGUGGGGUAACGGCCUACCAAGUCUACGAUCAGUAGCUGGUUUGAGAGGAUGAUCAGCAACACUGGGACUGAGACACGGCCCAGACUCCUACGGGAGGCAGCAGU